UUUUUUUUUUUUUUUUGUUUAUUCGCAUUUCUCAGUAAUUUCUCUCUCAAUUUGUACGGUCCGCAACUAUAUAUAAUAUAACUAAAUUAAAUAUUUUUUUUUGGGAUAGAAAAUGCAAAACCAAUAAUAUGUUAUUAAUGAGUUGGGUAGAAAUCGUUCAGGACAAUUUGCUUGACAAAAUCAUGGAAACUCGAUAGAGAGAUUCAGUCUAAAUCAAAUAGUUUUGGGACUUCAUGAUUGUUGAAACUUCACCAGAAAAUUGAUGUUAGAAAUUUUAACAGAAUUUGAUAGGUGAAAGAAACCUAUUGUUCCAAUACCACGUGAAUAAUUGGAUUAGAUUAAUAAUUUUCGAAUAUAAGUAGGCGUAAUCCUGACAAAAUUUGCCAGGUUUCAAUUUUCGAAUAUAAAUGCUCACAAAAUCUUAAUUUAUUUAUUUUUAUGGGAUAUCGUUAAAAUCAUAAUCUUAGCCGCUGGAAACAUUUGCUUUAUACAGAACUAUAUAUAUAUAUAGUACAUAUUAAACAAAACGAGUUAUUGUUAUCUUUGAAAGUUUACAUAGUAGAGAUCGAGACUCCACCAGUCAUUUCAAACAAUCAUGAAAUAUGACUAGGAAUGUUGAAGAUUUGAUUAGUAGCUAGGAAGAAAGGAUGGCCUGGCCUGGAGUCUCAAGUCAGAAGUUGUACAAAGACCACAAGAAGACCACGCAAUCCAUGGAUGAAGAUUAGCAAUUUCUUUCUUUCUUUCUUUUUUUUCUUCUAACACCAAUUGGAUGAAGAUAAUGAAGUUUAAGGAUGAGAGUCAAGAUAAUCAAUCAUGCGCGAUCAAUGGCGCAAUCGUGAUUGUAUUACUUGAGAACUAAAUGAAAUCAAUGACAAAAUACUGCACUGUUUCCUUAUAGUGACUGUGUCAUCACAAGAAAAUAAGUUGUAUACGGCAAGAAUUUGUUAAUUCUGAGAUUAUCUUGAUGCAGAUGGCCAAAUUCUGACACUACGUACAUGGCCAAUUUCUUUGUUUUUUUUUUUUUUUUUUAAAAAAAUUUUUUUUGUUGAUGUCAAAUUCCUGCAUUUGCACAAUUGCACAUUAAUUGGCUUAUAUCAAAUUGAACAAUUCCACGUUUGGUUUUUUCAAUUUCUAUUCAAGUCCACCAGGCAUGCCUGAGGUCUUCUCUGUUUCUUUGAAGGAGGUAACCGGUGCGAAGUGAAAAAGGAGGACCUCUGGGCUUUGAUGAGAGAAUCAUUCAAGUAUUACCAGCAAAUUAAAACGAAAAUGACGAGCAAAGAAAAAUCAAACGGAUGGACCUAGCUCUCAAAAUAUGCAUAACUUAGGUGGUUAUGGAUAUGGUAAACAAAAUCAAUGGUAAAAGGGAUCUGCUUCAGAGAAAAUUCAAAUGAAGAAAGUUGCAUGUGGUUUCUAACUUUCUAAUAGGGAGGUGCGAACUUCUUAAACUCUAGCGGCUGCUUCCAUGAACUAAAUUUUAGAGGAAAAAAAAAAAAACUCUUAUCAUCUAAAACUCUUCCAUCAUGCAGACAAUUAUAUAUCCCAUGUUUACUUUUACAAAUGAUUAUCAAGUCUCUCAGCUACUGCCCCUCAUCAAGAAGCAAAAUCCUACAGGAAAUGGAGUUCUGUUGAGCCCAUGGUUCAAAGUCACGGUCGCAGUCGCGGUCGUGGCCCGGAACGUUCUAUAUUGGUCUCGGCAUAUCGGUCGCGGUCUCGGUGAGACGCAAAUUUUAAAGUAUUUAAUAUUCUAAAAAUUGUUAAUAAUAUAAAAAAGUAUGCUAAAUAAAAAUAAUUAAAAAUAGCAAAAGAAACGGCCAAGUCAAUCCGUCGCGGUGUGACUCGGCUGAUUUCUCGUCUUGACUCGGGAUAACUCGGAGUGACUCGGUGUGACUUGGCCUAGUCAAUCCGUCGCGGUGACGACUCGGUCGAUUUCUCGGCGAGUCAAGUAUUUCGGUAUCGUUUUGUCACGGUAUCGUAUCGGUAGGGGCCGAGACGGUGACGACUCGGCCGAGUCGUCUCGGUCUCGGCUGAGACUUCGAACCAUGGUUGAGCCUCAUCUUUCUUUGAUGGCACGUCAGAGAUUUAGCAAAAUUAGUUAAAUAUCUCCGCUUCUAAAGUCAGAUCACAAGAAUGUGUCAUGAUAAUGACAAUAAUUGAACCAAAAAAAAUUCCAUCCACUGCAAACACCUCAUUAAUGCAUUAUUCGAAGGAAAGGGAACUCUACUGAUUAAGCUCACGAGUCCUUUUGAUGGAGAAAUUGAAAUUGAUGUAAACCAUUAAUUUUUUCUUUCCAAGAUAUUCAUCAAAUUACCAUUUCUUGAUCCAGCUCAUCCUUGAGAUGUCUCUCUCUUUAGGAUGCUACUGCAGAUGAGUACCUAUUGGAUUUACAGUUGCUUCGUAAAUAGACUUGGGAUUAUUCUCUUUCAAAUUAGCCUUACCAAUGAGACUCCAUCUUGAUCAGCUUAUUGGACGAGGUGUAUGACUAAAGUUGUAUGGGACGAGGUAUAUACUGGUAAUGCAGCAAGGGUUGUCUUUAGCAGCAAAUCUUGAUCAGCCAAAGUAGCAAUGUUUUCUUGCACCCUCUGGUUCUGUGCACCUUCUCCUUAUAAAACAGUUAGCAUCACUCUACAUCUACCUAAAGUUGAGUCUCUUUCUGCUAAAAAUUCAAGUUUAGAGUUAAGACAUCUACUUUUAUGCACCAUUGAACUUGCUCUAAAGGGCUUUACUUGAUGUCUUGCUGGAAACUUAUUGUUCAACACAUUUAAAUCUGCAUUGCUGUCAAGACUUGUUUAAAUUCGUAAUUGUCCUUCAUAUUAUGAUGCAGUUCUCGUCCCUACUGGACAAGGCAUUUGUACUAGCAUAGCUGAUGAUUCUUGCAUUGAUCUUUUUCAACUUCAAAAUGCCAACAACUCAAUGAGGUAAUGAUCCAUGGAACAUUAUAUGCUGUUUCUCAAUCUUUUCAAGAUAUAAGCGUGAAUGCAUAAGUUUCUUAAUUGAACAGACUAAAGUACGCAAGUGAGGUUCUUCUUUUCUCAUUUGUCUUCUACAUCUGCCAUUUAUGUUCUAAUUCAUGUGGAACUCCCUAGGCAAAUAAGCAAGUGUAACAUCUAUACGAAUAUAUUUGAGAGCUUGAACAAGAGAUGCGAGGAACUGAUAUACCUGGCAUUAAAUGAAACUGCUAUACGAUACAUGAUGGAGAGAACUCAUACUGCCAAGGGCAAAACAGCUCAAUGGAGAACGGAGAUAGUUUGUCAAGGCUCUAAGCGUGUUACACAAUUUAUUAUCACAAAAUAGUUGUCAUCAGCGGAAAAUGUGUACAGAACAUGGAUAUGCUGGUACUUACAAACUCAAAUUAUUAAGAAAAAGCCA
Molecule: long non-coding RNA, 3366 nt
Filed under: Coffea arabica (coffee)
Lineage: Eukaryota; Viridiplantae; Streptophyta; Magnoliopsida; Gentianales; Rubiaceae
Description: long non-coding RNA (CARA_LNC003093)
Source: RNAcentral